ACCGAGAAGACGACCGAACUUGAUCAUUUAGAGGAAGUAA
This 40-nucleotide ribosomal RNA is filed under the name Didymocystis scomberomori. Its description in RNAcentral is "partial 18S ribosomal RNA". The record is from RNAcentral. Lineage: Eukaryota; Metazoa; Platyhelminthes; Trematoda; Azygiida; Didymozoidae. RNAcentral also lists the same sequence under 1 other name.